ACUCCUACGGGAGGCAGCAGUAAGGAAUAUUGGGCAAUGGACGAAAGUCUGACCCAGCCAUGCCGCGUGAAGGAUGAAGGUCCUCUGGAUUGUAAACUUCUUUUAUCUGGGGCGAAAACCUCCCUUUCUAGGGGGCUUGACAGUACCAGAAGAAUAAGCACCGGCUAACUCCGUGCCAGCAGCCGCGGUAAUAC
This 194-nucleotide ribosomal RNA is filed under the name uncultured bacterium. RNAcentral describes it as "partial 16S ribosomal RNA". It matches the Rfam family "Bacterial small subunit ribosomal RNA", at positions 335 to 526 of the family's 1533-position model. The record is from RNAcentral.